This 1529-nucleotide unclassified non-coding RNA is filed under the name Gigantopelta aegis. RNAcentral's name for it is "uncharacterized LOC121380124, transcript variant X9". The record is from RNAcentral. Lineage: Eukaryota; Metazoa; Mollusca; Gastropoda; Neomphalida; Peltospiridae.
UUUAAUAUGCUGGAAAGGAAGUAAGUUCGGUGAAUCUAGAAACACGGUGGUGUACAGAAAAGUGAAGUACAAAAUGGGCACAGCGAUUUCGUAGUCAGGGUAGACACGUAACUGGAUUUAUUUUUGUGUGUGUGUUUUUCUUCUGCAAACAUGAUGGAUCUAAACUCCAUUACAAGACAAAUAUUUCUUUGAAUGAUCUGUCUAAAACGCACAGAGCAUGCUAAGGAGAAGCACGUCUGUUGUAUGUAGGGUAUAAAGAUUACAUGAUUUUGGACCUGUGACUUGUAUCCUGUGAAUAUUAAAAUCUGACAUCAUAUAUUUUACUGUGUUGUGGUACAGCAAGAUUACCUAUUUUAACCUACAUGUUCAAGAUAGCGAGCCCAUAUCCGCUGACGGUUCAGGCACGUCCAUCCUGGGCACGAGUUCUGAUUUCCGCCAGAUCUCCUGUCAAGGCGUCUGUACUGGGAGACGAAAUCGUUGUCACAGAUAUGCUGUUUAUUUGGAAGGAACGUGCGUAGCAGGAUAAUCUGGGGAUUUUAUCUACUGCAUCGCCAUUUUCAACUGAUGGAUUUAGUUUAUAUCCAACAUAAAAGUGUAAUCAAGAAAUGAACAGUCGUAAGUGGACUGAACAACAAAUCAUCACCGUUCGUGAAUUACUUCACAAAUAUGCACGUCAGCUGGAAGCAGUGUCGGGAAGAGACGUGGGCGUACACGGCUCUUGCUGGCAUCGUCAGCUUCCACAUGGGGAUCGUCGUCGGCGUCUUCGCCUUCAAAGGCCUUGUGGGCGACGACAGUUUCUCCGAUGCUGUCCAAGUCAUUGGGACCAUCAUCUCCGUCGCUGGCGUGGCUCUGGUGAUAGCCUCCGGGGUGCUGUACAGACGACAACGACGCCAUCUGCGGCCGUGUAUUUGUUGCGGCGAGGACAUUGAGGCCGCAGUCGUUCCGUUUCCGCCUAGUAGGCGGCUGCGCUUUGCUCCGAAUUUAGUCUCUCCGUACUACCUCGAAGCCGUGAAGGCGGACCUUGGAAGCAAAAAUAUCACGGGGAACAGUGACCACAUUCACCUGUUCGAGACAUGCAGUAAUGAUUCUCGGAGAACCGCGGACAGUAAAGAUUCUUCGAAACCCGCGUCUGAAAGAGAUGAUCGGAGUCCAUCUUACAAGAAAGAGCACCGAAAAACACCAUGUUAAUUAUUCAUUUGAAAGAAGCAAAUGGUUAUAAACAGGACGAGCUGUGAUAUUAUUAUUAUUAUUAUUAUUAUUAUUAUUAUUAUUAUUAUUAUUAUUAUUAUUAUUACGUCAUGUUAGUUUGAAAGACACUAAGAAUCAGCAGGGAUAUCGUGAUUCAUCGUCUGCUGAAUUACAACCUACUCAUUUGUUUCUGAAUCUUCAGUUACCCCUAUAUGACAAUGACAACCCUCUUUGGAAUAUGGGACCAUGCGUUGAUGUUAAAACAAUUGUGUAAAAUAGAUACUGAUCUUUAUCAUUAGCUAGUUAUUAUUAUUAUCUUUAUUAAAUACAUUGCAAAAAUA